This 257-nucleotide long non-coding RNA is filed under the name Salmo trutta (river trout). Its description in RNAcentral is "lncRNA (ENSSTUG00000016523.1)". Lineage: Eukaryota; Metazoa; Chordata; Actinopteri; Salmoniformes; Salmonidae. The record is from RNAcentral.
GAAACCGAGAAACACCGAUUUAGAGCAUCGUCACUCGCGUGAAUUUGCGGAUUGAUUGAUUAUUGGAUAAAUCAUUGAGGGAAAAUGAUGGCGAAUAAUAAGUUCAUUGUCGUGUGCACAGUUUCUCUGACUGUUUUGUUUAGUAUAGCUACGGUAUCUGCCUUCGUUGAAGAGCUCGAUGACACGUUUAAAGACACAAGAAAGCCUGAUGAGAUAUGGCUGAUAGGAGUAAGUAUGUAUGGGAUUUUAUAAGAAAG